This 426-nucleotide ribosomal RNA is filed under the name uncultured bacterium. RNAcentral's name for it is "partial 16S ribosomal RNA". It matches the Rfam family "Bacterial small subunit ribosomal RNA", at positions 354 to 796 of the family's 1533-position model. The record is from RNAcentral.
GUGGGGAAUCUUGCGCAAUGGGCGAAAGCCUGACGCAGCAACGCCGCGUGGGGGAUGAAGGCUCUCGGGUUGUAAACCCCUUUCAGCAGGGACGAAUCAAGACGGUACCUGCAGAAGAAGCCCCGGCUAACUACGUGCCAGCAGCCGCGGUAACACGUAGGGGGCAAGCGUUGUCCGGAUUUAUUGGGCGUAAAGAGCUCGUAGGUGGCUGAGUAAGGCGGAUGUCAAAUCCCCAGGCUCAACCUGGGAUCCCAUCCGAUACUGCUCUGGCUAGAGUCCGGUAGGGGAGCGUGGAAUUCCUGGUGUAGCGGUGAAAUGCGCAGAUAUCAGGAGGAACACCAGCGGCGAAGGCGGCGCUCUGGGCCGGUACUGACACUGAGGAGCGAAAGCGUGGGUAGCAAACAGGAUUAGAAACCCGUGUAGUCC